AACGUAGGACGCGAGCGUUAUCCGGAGUUACUGGGCGUAAAGGGCGGGUAGGCGGGUGGGCAAGUGAGGUGUGAAAUCUCCCGGCUUAACCGGGAGGGUGCAUCUCGGACUGUCGACCUGGAGGGCAGCACAGGAGCGUGGAAUUCCGGGUGGAGUGGUGAAAUGCGUAGAGAUCCGGAGGAACACCAGAGGCGAAAGCGGCGCUCUGGGCUGCACCUGACGCUGAACCGCGAAAGCCAGGGGAGCGAACGGG
RNAcentral lists this ribosomal RNA (253 nucleotides) under uncultured bacterium. RNAcentral describes it as "partial 16S ribosomal RNA". It matches the Rfam family "Bacterial small subunit ribosomal RNA", at positions 524 to 776 of the family's 1533-position model. The record is from RNAcentral.